RNAcentral lists this long non-coding RNA (2693 nucleotides) under Cricetulus griseus (Chinese hamster). RNAcentral describes it as "lncRNA (ENSCGRG00015038533.1)". Lineage: Eukaryota; Metazoa; Chordata; Mammalia; Rodentia; Cricetidae. The record is from RNAcentral.
GGAAGUGGGCCCCUUCUCUCUUCCUCCAGAGUAACCAUGUGAUCCCUGAAUGAGGACACCAAUGGAAGGCAUCCUAAAUAAGAUAAGUCUUAUAAAAUAUAUAGAAUUAUGAUAAUUAAGACUGAGCUAACAGAUGAGAAAUCCUAGUCAUUGGCCAAGCAGCAUUUGUACCUAAUAGAAGUCUCUGUAUAUUAUUUGGGGCCCUAAUGUAGUGAGUGGAACUCAAGUGGGUGGUGAAAAGAUUUAUCGUAACAUCUGUUGUCCUGUAUCAUGGAGAUCCUGCAGUUUUGGUCCUGUAGGUUCAUCCCACUCACCUGCUUCAACAGUUCAUAGAUGAGGUGGAUGUUGGGGUGGGUAACUUGGCCCUGGUUCUGGACUUGAGUGGUAGCUGGGUAGGUCAGCCGGCCAGCUUUCCCUCAUCUUCACUACCCAGACAAGCUCUCCAGCACUGCCUGGGUUAGCUCUCACAAUGCAGCCUGCAGCAAGGGGCAGGGCCAGUUCUCCUGCUCCCAGGUCCACAGACCCAGGUCAUCCACACUCACACCACUAGGGCCAGCUCUACUGUUUUGCCCAGGCAAGGUGCAGGGCCCUCUCUCCUGAUUGCUGUAAGGGGGUAUUCAAGGUGUGUGUGGGUGUGAGGGAAGGGGUUGGUUGGGGUAGGAUGGGUAGGGUGUUAGCUCUCCUGCUCUCUUGCCUUCAGAGUUGGCUCACCUGAGGCCAGUGUGCUGCCCAGGUGGGGUACAGGGCACACACUCCUGUGUGCUGCAUCUGGUGAGGGGCAGGGCUAGUUUUCUCACUCUUGUGACCUUGGGGACACUCAGUCAAUGAUCAGGGAAGACAUUAAUACAAUGAUCAGGAAAGACAUUAAUAUCCCCACACAGAAUUAAAGAAUCUGAGCCUUCUAGGUAUGUAACAGCUGGAAAGUUUGGAGCCACCACUGGUUAAAACAUCACACAGACUCCCUUUUUUGAGUGUCCAGAGGUGAAGCCAUCUUCAUGCUGACAUGAUCUAGCUGCACCGGAUGCCUCUCUGCUAUACUUCUGCCUCCUUUCAGAAGGCUGGCUUCAUUUUCAGCCUAGUAGUGGCAUAGCUGUUGGUUUCCGGGCUUCAAAUCUAUAAUCAGUAAUGCCUGAGGUGGAGACCUGUUCUUUCUGUUGCUUACUCUUGCAAACUAGGACACCUUCCUUAGAAGCCCUUGGUAAAUCUCUCCUCAUUCAUCACUAUCCAGCAUAAUUCAUGGAUUGUUUCCAAACCAUAAUGGGCUAGGGACACAGAAUUGCCUAUAGGCUGGCAUACAUGGAUAUACUGCCUGUAGGUGACUCUGGAUACAUGGGCUUCUGUCUGCAAAGACAAAAGGGGGAGUGAAAGUAAAUGCAGAAGACUAGGGCCCUGGGAAGACAGAGUCAAGAGUGUGAGCCAAGACUUGCAGCUAAACAGGGGUUUCUCUAAGCCCAAGUAUGGUCCUCUGUUAAAGCUUUACUGAGAUGCAAGAGCUGGAAAGGGAGCUCAGGAUUACCAUGUAGCCCUGUAGACAAGAUAAUGGACCCAGGCUACUACUAUGCUUUUCAUACUGUGACUCAAUUGGCUCUGCUUUUCAGUAGAUGAGGAUGCUUGCUUUGGCUUUUAUGGGGCAAGGAAUAUUUUUUAAUAAAUUAUUCUGGAAGUAUUAAUUUAUACAUAGGUUUUGUAUGAUUGAUGUUAGAGAGAUUUCUUUAAAACCCACAAAUCCUUCAAAAGUAUUUUUUUUUAAUUUUAAGAUGUUUCAAAUAAUAACAAAGUUCCCAUCCUAGAACGUUCAUCCAGUAGCUGAUGGAAGCAGAAGCAGACACCCACAGCUAAGCACUGAGCUGAAUUCCUGGAAUCCAGUUGUAGAGAGGGAGGAGUGAUGAGCAAAGGGAUCAAGACCAGGCUGGAGAAACCCAUAGAAACAGCUGACCUGAACAAUUGGCCCCAGACUGAUAGCUGGAAAACAAGCAUAGGAUAAAACCAGGCCCCCUGAAUGUGGAUGUCAGUAAGUGUCCCGCGUGAUAGUCUUGCCGGCAAGAACCACACAGGACAUUCGGAUCCUUCUGCAGUAAAGCUUUAAUGCGUCUUGAGAGGAGAGCAUAAGCUUACCAGAGCGGAGACCCCGAGCCAAGAAUCCCGUCCCCUAAUAAAGGCUGGCAACCGCCGCCUGGGACGUGUUACCCCAUGAUUGGCUGUAGCUCAUCGGACCAUAUGACGUCACGGAAUAGGCAGAGAUCAAGGAAUGGAAAGUUACCCAGCGCCUGCGCGCAUUAACUUGUUUACAUUCAAUGCCUGCCGGAUGCAGGCGCCAUCUUGUAAUGGAGAAUGCAGGGACGGCUCCCUACAAGUAAGGAGGCCUGGGCAAUCUGUGGGGCCUCUGGUAGUGUAUCAGUAUACAAAUGGACUUUGGGAACCCAUUCCCCAUAGAGGAAUACUCUCUCAGCCUAGACACACGGGGGAGGGCCUAGGCCCUGCUCCAAAUGAUGGGACAGACUUUUGAUGAUUCCCCAAUGGAAGGCCUCACCCUCCCUGGGGAGUAGAAGGGGCAUGGGAUGGGGGGUCAGUGUGGGGCAUGGGAGGAUGGGAGGGAGAGGGAAUUGGGAUUGAUAUGUAAAAUACAUUGUUUCUAAAUUAAAUAAAAAAUAACAAAAAAGCUUUAGCAUUGUUCUUUAUUUGUAUUACUUUAA